UUGCUCAUCUUCCCUCCCCUUCUCUCUCAGGUCCUGAAGGCGGCAGCGGCAACGAGCCGGCAACGCCUCCGCUGAGGUUGCGGCGAUGGAACCCGCGCGGGGUGGUGCUGGGCGGGGCGAGGGUGCGGCAUGGGCCGCUGGCCUUUGGAACACAUAUCUACAUCCAUAGCUCUGGCGGCAACGGUGGCGGUAGAGCGGAUGACGUCUCAUCCUGCUCCUAGCCGGCGACGGUGGAUCAACGCCUAUUCUAAUUUAAUCCUCCUCUCUUCUUCUUGUACAGGGUACUCUUGUAGGGCAACCUGUUCUUCUCGAUGGUGCUCCAGCAACUGCAUAAUUCAGGCUGGAGGUGAUGGAGGGCACUGUACAAGAGGACAUUUGUAUGGGAACAACAAUACACCAGGUAAUGUUGUUGGCGAUGGUCAAUUGAUUUGAGCAUAUUUGGAGACUGGUAGGCGCGCGGCCAUACUGCCCGAGUCACCACCUGAGAGAGGAUCAGAGGAGAUGGGCAGAUGCUCUAGAGGAUUUUGUACAUAGAGCAACCUCCUCUUCAUCUAGCUGAUCUUUUCUCAAAAACUUGAGCGAUUGGACUUAUGCACUUGUCCCUUAGAGUCAAUGGCCACAGCCUCUUGCAUAUUCAGUGCCACUCUUCUUUCACCAAUAUGUCUAUUUCCAAAUAUUCACGUCCUUGGUCCUUGGUACCCGACAAUUGCUCAUUAUAAUUGUCCAGCUAAUAAGCUUACGACAGAAGAUUACCGUGAUAACAAUUCUUGAUGUUUACAACAAUUAGUAUUACUGAUAAAUAGUAUGGUUGGCUGCCUCUU
This is a long non-coding RNA of Triticum dicoccoides, 821 nucleotides long. RefSeq lists it as uncharacterized. The transcript has 2 exons. Lineage: Eukaryota; Viridiplantae; Streptophyta; Magnoliopsida; Poales; Poaceae. The record is from RefSeq and is a predicted model, not a curated record.